This 253-nucleotide ribosomal RNA is filed under the name uncultured bacterium. RNAcentral's name for it is "partial 16S ribosomal RNA". It matches the Rfam family "Bacterial small subunit ribosomal RNA", at positions 524 to 776 of the family's 1533-position model. The record is from RNAcentral.
UACGGGGGGGGCAAGCGUUGUUCGGAAUUACUGGGCGUAAAGAGCUCGUAGGCGGUCUGUCACGUCGGCUGUGAAAACCCGAGGCUCAACCUCGGGCCUGCAGUCGAUACGGGCAAACUAGAGUACUGCAGGGGAGACUGGAAUUCCUGGUGUAGCGGUGAAAUGCGCAGAUAUCAGGAGGAACACCGGUGGCGAAGGCGGGUCUCUGGGCAGUAACUGACGCUGAGGAGCGAAAGCGUGGGGAGCGAACAGG